Molecule: ribosomal RNA, 253 nt
Filed under: uncultured bacterium
Lineage: Bacteria
Description: partial 16S ribosomal RNA
Rfam family: Bacterial small subunit ribosomal RNA
Source: RNAcentral
UACGGGGGGGGCAAGCGUUGUUCGGAAUUACUGGGCGUAAAGGGCUCGUAGGCGGCCAACUAAGUCAGACGUGAAAUCCCUCGGCUUAACCGGGGAACUGCGUCUGAUACUGGAUGGCUUGAGGUUGGGAGAGGGAUGCGGAAUUCCAGGUGUAGCGGUGAAAUGCGUAGAUAUCUGGAGGAACACCGGUGGCGAAGGCGGUUCUCUGGGCCUUACCUGACACUGAGGAGCGAAAGCGUGGGGAGCAAACAGG